GGCGGACGGGUGAGUAACGCGUAAGGAACUUGCCUCUUGGACUGGGACAACUGUUGGAAACGACAGCUAAUACCGGAUAUUAUGAGAUUCUCGCAUGAGAAACUUAUGAAAGCUAUAUGCGCCAAGAGAGAGCCUUGCGUUCCAUUAGCUAGUUGGUGGGGUAACGGCCCACCAAGGCGACGAUGGAUAGCCGGCCUGAGAGGGUGAACGGCCACAAGGGGACUGAGACACGGCCCUUACUCCUACGGGAGGCAGCAGUGGGGAAUAUUGGACAAUGGGCCACAAGCCUGAUCCAGCAAUUCUGUGUGCACGAUGAAGGUCUUCGGAUUGUAAAGUGCUUUCAGUUGGGAAGAAGAAAGUGACGGUACCAACAGAAGAAGCGACGGCUAAAUACGUGCCAGCAGCCGCGGUAAUACGUAUGUCGCAAGCGUUAUCCGGAUUUAUUG
Molecule: ribosomal RNA, 446 nt
Filed under: uncultured bacterium
Lineage: Bacteria
Description: bacterial SSU rRNA
Rfam family: Bacterial small subunit ribosomal RNA
Source: RNAcentral